Molecule: small nuclear RNA, 152 nt
Filed under: Otolemur garnettii (small-eared galago)
Lineage: Eukaryota; Metazoa; Chordata; Mammalia; Primates; Galagidae
Description: U4 spliceosomal RNA (ENSOGAG00000023203.1)
Source: RNAcentral
AGCUUUGCACAGUAGAGUAUCAUAGCCGAUGGGGUUUAUCCGGGGCAUGAUUAUUGCUAAUUGAAAACAAGUGAACUGAUGGCUUUAAACUUAGAGACACUGCGCCUGAAAAGGCACCUGGCAAGCAUAUUACUUGGAAAUGCUUUAAACUA